GUUCCUGUAGUUGAAUUACAACGGUGGUUUUUCAAGUCACUGGUCUCGGUUGGACCCCGGGUGGGAAUU
This 69-nucleotide transfer RNA is filed under the name Leptochilichthys agassizii (Agassiz' smooth-head). Its description in RNAcentral is "tRNA-Glu". It matches the Rfam family "tRNA". Rfam says of the family: Transfer RNA (tRNA) molecules are approximately 80 nucleotides in length. Their secondary structure includes four short double-helical elements and three loops (D, anti-codon, and T loops). Lineage: Eukaryota; Metazoa; Chordata; Actinopteri; Alepocephaliformes; Leptochilichthyidae. The record is from RNAcentral.